GGGGUGGCCGGAUCGCUCAUGACGGGGCAGAAGGAGGAGCUCCGGGUCUUCGCUGAGGUUCUUCAAGCUGUCAGGGAAGAUCAGAGUCCAUCCUGCAGGAACACAUUGAUGCAGAUUGCAUUGGAAAGAAGAUCUGAGAGACUUAGUUUGCCUGUGGGAUCAGAUGGAUGUGCUCACACAUGUGCUCCAGGAGAGUCCUUCAGUGAUUUCCAGCUCCCAUUGGCGAUGGGAACACCUGCAGAGGAGAAUGGACCAGCUGGAGCUCCAGGCACAGCUCUAGCUGCUCACAGCUGAGCCUGUGGAACGCUCCAGGAGCCAUCCCUGCUGCCAUCUCUCUCCCUGUUGGCAGCUCCCUCCCUGUAGCCCUCAGACCCUGCCCAUCCCCUUUUUUACCUCCCCAGCUGACCCCUUUCCUUUGCUUCUCCUUAAUAAAGAGUUUGGCUUUUUCCAAAACCCAAAGGCAGGAGCACCUGCACAGCAGAAUGGACCAGCUGGAGCUCCAGGCACAGCUCUAGCUGCUCACAGCUGAGCCUGUGGCAAGCUCCAGGAGCUCCUGCCAUCCCUCUCCCUCUUGGCAGCUCCCUCCCUGCAGCCCUCAGGCCUUGUCCAUCCCCCUUUUUACCUCCCAGCUUACCCCUUCCCUUCUCUUUCCCUUAAUAAAGUUUGGCUUUUUCACGUUA
This is a long non-coding RNA of Passer domesticus (house sparrow), 680 nucleotides long. RefSeq lists it as uncharacterized. The record is from RefSeq and is a predicted model, not a curated record. The transcript is spliced from 2 exons. NCBI's taxonomy places the organism in Eukaryota, Metazoa, Chordata, Aves, Passeriformes, Passeridae.